Molecule: long non-coding RNA, 1362 nt
Organism: Oryzias melastigma (Indian medaka)
Lineage: Eukaryota; Metazoa; Chordata; Actinopteri; Beloniformes; Adrianichthyidae
Exons: 3
Source: RefSeq, a predicted model, not a curated record
UACAUUUAAUAUUUUGCAAUACACAAAGAUGUUGACAAGGGAUUACGCAACACUCUUGAGUAAACUCCUAAAAAUUUUGAUCCUCGUGGGAUUCCGUAGCUGACUUGGUAGUUUCGCGGUCAAACUUGACCAAACCACGCACGCGCUGAAGACGUUACCGCGGUGGGGAGACUUCACUGAGGUUAUCGUCGCCGUCUUUCACAGUUAUUGAUGUGUUGAUGUGGCGUUGUAAGUUGUGUCAGAAAGUGGUGUCAACAAGGGCUUUUUUUCAGGCACUACAGAUGGACUCCAUUGAUGGAAGAAGAUGUUGUAUCCUGAAGGCCCUUGCCGUUUAUCUCAGUGAAGACCCAAGCAACAUUUUCAAAGAGUACAUGGUAAGUGUAUUGAAUGAAAUGUUAGUAAAUGAGAGGGAAAUUACAAGAUGAUUUUAAAUGACUAAUGGUUUUGGAUAAAUGUAAGUAUAGUGUGGUAAAUAAUUUGUCCAGCACAUUUUAUUCAUAUUUGUACAAGUUUGAAAAUAUUUUUCUACUCAUACUAGAAAAUUCAUUGAUGUUGGAGACAACAUUACACAUGAUGACCAAUUGAAGAGGGGGGGCAACUUAUUAAUACUUUUGUGCAUAAAUUAGACACCAGUGCUGCCUUUGGAAGGGGUACGAUUUAAUAAUGUACUGCUCUUAGGCCCGAUCCGAAUACUAUCCCUUCUCACUCCUCCUUAGCCCUCCGCCUUCGUUUAUCCCUCCGUGCUUGCUCCAAACUGAGGGUGGUAAAAAAUAUUUCCGACGUGAGUUUCGUUCAGUGACGUCAUCCAAAUCACCGGUAAGCUAGCAUUAGCGCGGAGCUUCCAGCGGUUGAAUAUACAUUACAACAGCAGUUUUAUACAUUUAAAAAGGUCACACUGUAACAUAAAGUUAUUACUUGCGUUUAAAUGUAAACUUCUGUGGUUCAGAGCGUACCAAAGUGAAGAAAAGCGCUUCGUAGCGCGGCACGGUUUACUCUCGCGAUAGCGGACUUUCGGCCCCACUGUUUGGAGUGUGUAGCAUAAAAAAUAAUAAUUCCGGACACAACUUUGACUUCAACUGCCACUUCAAAUCAAGGGGGAGGGCUAAGGGGAAGGGAGAAGGGGAGUAUUCGGAUCGGGCCUUAGUCUACUCUGAACUGUUGUGGGUUUUGAUGACCACAAUCAUAACAAUGUAGACUUUAGUACUAGGUUUAUGAUAACAAAGACUGUCUCGUUGUUGCAAUAUAAAUUGAAUAAAUCUGAAAUUGUAUGAAUAUAAUGUCAUAUUCAAAAUAGUUGUACAUUUACAGUUUUGGCAUUCUCUAACCAUUUUAAACCUUUUUAAGUUUUUUAAUGUACCUACU